GGUAGUAGCAAAUACUCCAGCGAGGCCCUGGAGGACUGACGUGGAGAAGGGUUUCGUGUGAACAGCCGUUGCACACGAGUCAGUCGAUCCUAAGCCCUAAGAGAAAUCCUAUGUGAAUGAGGUGUCCUAAAACAAAUGUUUUGUGUACAAGACACACACCCGUUGGGCGAAAGGGAAUCCGGUUUCUAUUCCGGAACCCGGCAGCGGAACCGCAUACCAUUCGGGCCCUCGUAAGAGUGUUCGUCGGGGUAACCCAAAAUGACCUGGAGACGCCGUCGGGAGAUCCGGGGAGAGUUUUCUUUUCUGUAUAAGCGUUCGAGUUCCCUGGAAACCUCUAGCAGGGAGAUAGGGUUUGGAACGCGAAGAGCACCGCAGUUGCGGCGGUGUCCGGAUCUUCCCCUCGGACCUUGAAAAUCCAGGAGAGGGCCACGUGGAGGUGUCGCGCCGGUUCGUACCCAUAUCCGCAGCAGGUCUCCAAGGUAAAGAGCCUCUAGUC
RNAcentral lists this non-coding RNA (496 nucleotides) under Dufourea novaeangliae. RNAcentral's name for it is "Eukaryotic large subunit ribosomal RNA". It matches the Rfam family "Eukaryotic large subunit ribosomal RNA", at positions 1456 to 1888 of the family's 3401-position model. The record is from Rfam by way of RNAcentral. Lineage: Eukaryota; Metazoa; Arthropoda; Insecta; Hymenoptera; Halictidae.